AGCGAACGCUGGCGGCAGGCUUAACACAUGCAAGUCGAGCGGGCCCUUCGGGGUCAGCGGCGGACGGGUGAGUAACGCGUGGGAACGUGCCCUCUGGUCUGGAAUAACCCUGGGAAACUAGGGCUAAUACCGGAUACGCCCUUUUGGGGAAAGGCUUGCUGCCGGAGGAUCGGCCCGCGUCUGAUUAGCUAGUUGGUGGGGUAACGGCCUACCAAGGCGACGAUCAGUAGCUGGUCUGAGAGGAUGAUCAGCCACACUGGGACUGAGACACGGCCCAGACUCCUACGGGAGGCAGCAGUGGGGAAUAUUGGACAAUGGGCGCAAGCCUGAUCCAGCCAUGCCGCGUGAGUGAUGAAGGCCUUAGGGUUGUAAAGCUCUUUUAUCCGGGACGAUAAUGACGGUACCGGAGGAAUAAGCCCCGGCUAACUUCGUGCCAGCCGCCGCAGUAA
Molecule: ribosomal RNA, 449 nt
Filed under: uncultured bacterium
Lineage: Bacteria
Description: partial 16S ribosomal RNA
Rfam family: Bacterial small subunit ribosomal RNA
Source: RNAcentral